This 181-nucleotide small nuclear RNA is filed under the name Entamoeba histolytica. RNAcentral's name for it is "U2 snRNA". It matches the Rfam family "U2 spliceosomal RNA". Rfam says of the family: U2 is a small nuclear RNA (snRNA) component of the spliceosome (involved in pre-mRNA splicing). Lineage: Eukaryota; Evosea; Mastigamoebida; Endamoebidae. The record is from RNAcentral.
AUCACCUUCUCGGCCUUUAUGGCUUUGAUCAAGGUAGUAUCUGUUCUAGCAAGCUUAACAUCUUGCUUGCCCUUACGGGGGUAAAAGAAAAAUAAUUUUUAGAGGGAGGUUAAGGGAAUUGAAGGCAAGCCUUUUAUGAACUUAACGAGGAUGUGCAUGGAAACAUGAUGCGUCUACCCUA